UUGGAGGGCAAGUCUGGUGCCAGCAGCCGCGGUAAUUCCAGCUCCAAUAGCGUAUAUUAAAGUUGUUGCAGUUAAAAAGCUCGUAGUUGAACUUCGGGAUCAAUGGAUUGGUCAUGCCGAUGGUAUGUACUGGUCAUAUUGGUUCUCACCUUCUAAGGAACCAUAAUGUCAUUUAUUUGAUGUUGUGGGGAAUUAGGACUGUUACCUUGAAAAAAUUAGAGUGUUUAAAGCAGGCUAACGCUUGAAUACAUUAGCAUGGAAUAAUGAAAUAGGACAUCGCAUUCUAUUUUGUUGGUUUCUAGGAUCGAUGUAAUGAUUAAUAGGGAUAGUUGGGGGCAUUAGUAUUCAAUUGUCAGAGGUGAAAUUCUUGGAUUUAUUGAAGACUAACUACUGCGAAAGCAUUCGCCAAGGAUGUUUUCAUUAAUCAAGAACGAAAGUUAGGGGAUCGAAGACGAUCAGAUACCGUCGUAGUCUUAACCAUAAACUAUGCCGACUAGGGAUCGGAUGAUGUUGAUUUUUUAAUGACUCAUUCGGCGCCUUACGGGAAAC
RNAcentral lists this ribosomal RNA (549 nucleotides) under uncultured Glomus. RNAcentral's name for it is "SSU rRNA". It matches the Rfam family "Eukaryotic small subunit ribosomal RNA", at positions 548 to 1098 of the family's 1831-position model. The record is from RNAcentral. Lineage: Eukaryota; Fungi; Glomeromycota; Glomeromycetes; Glomerales; Glomeraceae.